RNAcentral lists this ribosomal RNA (433 nucleotides) under uncultured bacterium. RNAcentral describes it as "partial 16S ribosomal RNA". It matches the Rfam family "Bacterial small subunit ribosomal RNA", at positions 29 to 507 of the family's 1533-position model. The record is from RNAcentral.
AACGAACGCUGGCGGCAUGCCUAACACAUGCAAGUCGAACGAGUCCUUCGGGUCUAGUGGCGCACGGGUCCGCAACCCGGGGGAACCUGCCUUUAGGUUCGGAAUAACUCCCCGAAAGGGGUGCUAAAACCGGAUCAUGUCUCCGGUCCGUAGAUUUAUCGACUUUGGCUGGGCUCGCGUUGGAUUAGUUGCUUGGUAGGGUAAAAGCCUAUCACGGCGACGAUCCAUAGCUGGGUUGUGAGGAUGAGUAGCCACACUGGGACUGAGAAACGGCCGAGAAUCCUGCAGGAGGCAGCAGUGGGGAAUAUUGGACAAUCGGCGAAAGCCUGAUCCAGCAAUGACGCGUAAGUGAUGAAGGCCUUAGGGUAGUAAAGUUCUUUUACCCGUGAUGAUAAUGACAGUACCGGGAGAAUAAGCUCCGGCUAACUCCGUG